Molecule: ribosomal RNA, 142 nt
Filed under: uncultured Alphaproteobacteria bacterium
Lineage: Bacteria; Pseudomonadati; Pseudomonadota; Alphaproteobacteria
Description: partial 16S ribosomal RNA
Rfam family: Bacterial small subunit ribosomal RNA
Source: RNAcentral
AGCGUUGCUCGGAAUCACUGGGCGUAAAGCGCACGUAGGCGGACUCUUAAGUCGGUGGUGAAAUCCUGGAGCUCAACUCCAGAACUGCCUUCGAUACUGGGAGUCUCGAGUUCGGAAGAGGUGAGUGGAACUGCGAGUGUAG